CUUUCAGAAGAUACAUUCCAGAUAAAAGUGGAUACGGCUGUUGUCAGACCGGCGACAAUCCAGUCCAAGAUGAAGAAGCGAAAGAGGGAACAUAAACUAGUCAGAAAAAGCAAAAUGAAGAAAAAAAGAAUUCUACUUCCCUUUCUUUUUUUUGAAAGCAGAAUUCGAUAAAUUAAAGAGAAACCGACAAAAAGAACAAAGAAAAACAGAAUCCACUUUUGAGUGCUCAUUAUAGCGGUUCCCUCUGAUCCUAGAAAACAUCCAAGGCAAGAGCCUAGGAAACUACCCAGGAGAGAAAAAAUAAAAGAAAGAGA
RNAcentral lists this long non-coding RNA (314 nucleotides) under Populus trichocarpa (black cottonwood). RNAcentral's name for it is "long non-coding RNA (PTRI_LNC000392)". The record is from RNAcentral. Lineage: Eukaryota; Viridiplantae; Streptophyta; Magnoliopsida; Malpighiales; Salicaceae.